AUGGUGUACUCCUCCUGUUUGAAUCGGAGUUUGAAACCAAACAAACUUCUCCUCAGGAGGAUAGAUGGGGCGAUUCAGGUGAGGUCCCAUGUAGAUCUAACUUUCUAUUCACUCAUGGGAUCCGGGCGGUCCGGGGGGGCCACCACGGCUCCUCUCUUCUCGAGAAUCCAUACAUCCCUUUUCAGUGUAUGGAGAGCUAUCUCUCGAGCACAGGUUGAGGUUCGUCCUCAAUGGGAAAAUGGAGCACCUAACAACGCAUCUUCACAGACCAAGAACUACGAGAUCACCCCUUUCAUUCUGGGGUGA
RNAcentral lists this ribosomal RNA (306 nucleotides) under Triticum aestivum (bread wheat). Its description in RNAcentral is "partial small subunit ribosomal RNA". Lineage: Eukaryota; Viridiplantae; Streptophyta; Magnoliopsida; Poales; Poaceae. The record is from RNAcentral.